This 492-nucleotide ribosomal RNA is filed under the name uncultured bacterium. RNAcentral describes it as "partial 16S ribosomal RNA". It matches the Rfam family "Bacterial small subunit ribosomal RNA", at positions 29 to 507 of the family's 1533-position model. The record is from RNAcentral.
AGUGAACGCUGGCGGUAGGCCUAACACAUGCAAGUCGAACGGCAGCACAGUAAGAGCUUGCUCUUACGGGUGGCGAGUGGCGGACGGGUGAGGAAUACAUCGGAAUCUACUUUUUCGUGGGGGAUAACGUAGGGAGACUUACGCUAAUACCGCAUACGACCUACGGGUGAAAGCAGGGGAUCUUCGGACCUUGCGCAAUUGAAUGAGCCGAUGUCGGAUUAGCUAGUUGGCGGGGUAAAGGCCCACCAAGGCGACGAUCCGUAGCUGGUCUGAGAGGAUGAUCAGCCACACUGGAACUGAGACACGGUCCAGACUCCUACGGGAGGCAGCAGUGGGGAAUAUUGGACAAUGGGCGCAAGCCUGAUCCAGCCAUACCGCGUGGGUGAAGAAGGCCUUCGGGUUGUAAAGCCCUUUUGUUGGGAAAGAAAAGCAGCAGGUUAAUACCCCGCUGUUCUGACGGUACCCAAAGAAUAAGCACCGGCUAACUUCGUG